UCUUUAAGGUCAGGGCGGAGUGGCAUC
RNAcentral lists this non-coding RNA (27 nucleotides) under Bombyx mori (domestic silkworm). The record is from RNAcentral. Lineage: Eukaryota; Metazoa; Arthropoda; Insecta; Lepidoptera; Bombycidae.